RNAcentral lists this ribosomal RNA (393 nucleotides) under Labyrinthulaceae sp. RNAcentral's name for it is "partial small subunit ribosomal RNA". It matches the Rfam family "Eukaryotic small subunit ribosomal RNA", at positions 582 to 975 of the family's 1831-position model. Lineage: Eukaryota; Bigyra; Labyrinthulida; Labyrinthulaceae. The record is from RNAcentral.
AUUCCAGCUCCAAUAGCGUAUAUUAAAGUUGUUGCAGUUAAAAAGCUCGUAUUUGAAUUUUUGUCUGUUGGGGCCUUGUUCUGUCCUUAGUGGCGGAGUUUAGUGUCCCGACGGACUUCCUGGGGGCCAACUAGUUGGUGUUUCAUUACACUGAUUAGGGAACCCCCUCGUUUACUGUGAAAAAAUUAGAGUGUUUCAAGCAGGCGUUUCGCAUUGAAUACAUUAGCAUGGAAUAAUAAGAUAGGACUUUGGUGCUAUUUUGUUGGUUUGCACACCAAGGUAAUGAUUAAGAGGGACAGUUGGGGGUAUUCGUAUUAUCAUGUCAGAGGUGAAAUUCUUGGAUUUUGGUAAGACGAACUACUGCGAAAGCAUUUACCAAGGAUGUUUUCAUCG